RNAcentral lists this ribosomal RNA (934 nucleotides) under Sphingobacterium multivorum. Its description in RNAcentral is "bacterial SSU rRNA". It matches the Rfam family "Bacterial small subunit ribosomal RNA", at positions 56 to 982 of the family's 1533-position model. Lineage: Bacteria; Pseudomonadati; Bacteroidota; Sphingobacteriia; Sphingobacteriales; Sphingobacteriaceae. The record is from RNAcentral.
UGCAAGUCGGACGGGAUUGGGACCAGAGCUUGCUCUGGUUCCAUGAGAGUGGCGCACGGGUGCGUAACGCGUGAGCAACCUACCUCUAUCAGGGGGAUAGCCUCUCGAAAGAGAGAUUAACACCGCAUAAUAUAAUUUUCCGGCAUCGUGUAAUUAUUAAAUAUUUAUAGGAUAGAGAUGGGCUCGCGUGACAUUAGCUAGUUGGUAGGGUAACGGCUUACCAAGGCGACGAUGUCUAGGGGCUCUGAGAGGAGAAUCCCCCACACUGGUACUGAGACACGGACCAGACUCCUACGGGAGGCAGCAGUAAGGAAUAUUGGUCAAUGGGCGGAAGCCUGAACCAGCCAUGCCGCGUGCAGGAUGACUGCCCUAUGGGUUGUAAACUGCUUUUGUCCAGGAAUAAACCUAAAUACGUGUAUUUAGCUGAAUGUACUGGAAGAAUAAGGAUCGGCUAACUCCGUGCCAGCAGCCGCGGUAAUACGGAGGAUCCGAGCGUUAUCCGGAUUUAUUGGGUUUAAAGGGUGCGUAGGCGGCCUAUUAAGUCAGGGGUGAAAUACGGUGGCUCAACCAUCGCAGUGCCUUUGAUACUGAUGGGCUUGAAUCCAUUUGAAGUGGGCGGAAUAAGACAAGUAGCGGUGAAAUGCAUAGAUAUGUCUUAGAACUCCGAUUGCGAAGGCAGCUCACUAAGCUGGUAUUGACGCUGAUGCACGAAAGCGUGGGGAUCGAACAGGAUUAGAUACCCUGGUAGUCCACGCCCUAAACGAUGAUAACUCGAUGUUGGCGAUAGACAGCCAGCGUCCCAGCGAAAGCGUUAAGUUAUCCACCUGGGGAGUACGCCCGCAAGGGUGAAACUCAAAGGAAUUGACGGGGGCCCGCACAAGCGGAGGAGCAUGUGGUUUAAUUCGAUGAUACGCGAGGAACCUUACCCGGGCUU